CCAAUAGCGUAUAUUAAAGUUGUUGCAGUUAAAAAGCUCGUAGUUGAAUUUCGGGAUCAGUAGGUUGGUCAUGCCUUUGGUAUGUACUGGCCUCACUGAUUCCUCCCUCUUGAAGAACCGUAAUGUCAUUAAUUUGGUGUUGCGGGGAAUCAGGACUGUUACUUUGAAAAAAUUAGAGUGUUUAAAGCAGGCUUACGCUUGAAUACAUUAGCAUGGAAUAAUGAAAUAGGACGUAUGAUCCUAUUUUGUUGGUUUCUAGGAUUGACGUAAUGAUUAAUAGGGAUAGUUGGGGGCAUUAGUAUUCAAUUGUCAGAGGUGAAAUUCUUGGAUUUAUUGAAGACUAACUACUGCGAAAGCAUUUGCCAAGGAUGUUUUCAUUAAUCAAGAACGAAAGUUAGGGGAUCGAAGACGAUCAGAUACCGUCGUAGUCUUAACCAUAAACUAUGCCGACUAGGGAUCGGAUGAUGUUAAUUUUUUAAUGACUCAUUCGGCGCCUUACG
Molecule: ribosomal RNA, 500 nt
Filed under: uncultured Glomeromycotina
Lineage: Eukaryota; Fungi; Glomeromycota
Description: partial small subunit ribosomal RNA
Rfam family: Eukaryotic small subunit ribosomal RNA
Source: RNAcentral